AGCAGCCGCGGUAAUUCCAGCUCCAAUAGCGUAUAUUAAAGUUGUUGCAGUUAAAAAGCUCGUAGGUGAAUUUCGGGGUUAGUAGGUUGGUCAUGCCUCUGGUAUGUACUGGUCUCACUGGUUCCUCCUUCCUGAUGAGCCGUAAUGCCAUUAAUUUGGUGUUGCGGGGAAUUUGGACUGUUACUUUGAAAAAAUUAGAGUGUUUAAAGCAAGCUAACGCUUGAAUACAUUAGCAUGGAAUAAUGAAAUAGGACGUUCGAUCCUAUUUUGUUGGUUUCUAGGAUUGACGUAAUGAUUAAUAGGGAUAGUUGGGGGCAUUAGUAUUCAAUUGCCAGAGGUGAAAUUCUUGGAUUUAUUGAAGACUAACUACUGCGAAAGCAUUUGCCAAGGAUGUUUUCAUUAAUCAAGAACGAAAGUUAGGGGAUCGAAGACGAUCAGAUACCGUCGUAGUCUUAACCAUAAACUAUGCCGACUAGGGAUCGGAUGAUGUUAAUUUUUUAAUGACUCAUUCGGCGCCUUA
RNAcentral lists this ribosomal RNA (520 nucleotides) under uncultured Glomus. Its description in RNAcentral is "SSU rRNA". It matches the Rfam family "Eukaryotic small subunit ribosomal RNA", at positions 569 to 1090 of the family's 1831-position model. The record is from RNAcentral. Lineage: Eukaryota; Fungi; Glomeromycota; Glomeromycetes; Glomerales; Glomeraceae.